This 457-nucleotide ribosomal RNA is filed under the name uncultured bacterium. RNAcentral's name for it is "SSU rRNA". It matches the Rfam family "Bacterial small subunit ribosomal RNA", at positions 26 to 518 of the family's 1533-position model. The record is from RNAcentral.
AGAAUCAACGCUGGCGGCGUGCCUAACACAUGCAAGUCGCACGAGAAAGGGGAGCAAUCCCUGAGUACAGUGGCGCACGGGUGAGUAACACGUGAAUAAUCUACCUCCGAGUGGGGAAUAACUGAGAGAAAUCUUAGCUAAUACCGCAUAACACUUACGAGUCAAAGCAGCAAUGCGCUUGGAGAGGAGUUCGCGGCCGAUUAGUUAGUUGGCGGGGUAAUGGCCCACCAAGACGAUGAUCGGUAUCCGGCCUGAGAGGGCGCACGGACACACUGGAACUGAAACACGGUCCAGACUCCUACGGAGGCAGCAGUGGGAAUUUUGCGCAAUGGGGGAAACCCUGACGCAGCAACGCCGCGUGGAGGAUGAAGCCCCUUGGGGUGUAAACUCCUUUCGAUCGGGAAGAUAAUGACGGUACCGAUAUAAGAAGCCCGGCUAACUUCGCGCCAGCAGCCGC